RNAcentral lists this ribosomal RNA (478 nucleotides) under uncultured bacterium. RNAcentral describes it as "bacterial SSU rRNA". It matches the Rfam family "Bacterial small subunit ribosomal RNA", at positions 56 to 527 of the family's 1533-position model. The record is from RNAcentral.
UGCAGUCGACGGUAACAUAAGGUGCUUGCACUUUGAUGACGAGUGGCGCACGGGUGCGUAACGCGUAUAGAACCUACCCUGUACAGGGGGAUAGCCCAGAGAAAUUUGGAUUAAUACCCCGUAGUAACUACUGAUGGCAUCAUUAGUAGUUUAAAGUUUUCGGAUGGUACAGGAUGGCUGUGCGUCCUAUUAGUUAGAUGGUGAGGUAACGGCUCACCAUGGCAGCGAUAGGUAGGGGCCCUGAGAGGGGGAUCCCCCACACUGGUACUGAGACACGGACCAGACUCCUACGGGAGGCAGCAGUGAGGAAUAUUGGACAAUGGGCAGAAGCCUGAUCCAGCCAUGCCGCGUGCAGGAAGACGGCCCUAUGGGUUGUAAACUGCUUUUAUACGGGAAGAAUAAGGGACACGUGUGUCCUGGUGACGGUACCGUAAGAAUAAGGACCGGCUAACUCCGUGCCAGCAGCCGCGGUAAUACG